AAACGUAGGAGGCGAGCGUUAUCCGGAGUUACUGGGCGUAAAGCGUAUGUAGGUGGUUGAGAACGUCUGAUGAAAAAAGCUCCCGGCUAAACUGGGAGAGCGCGUCGGAUACGGCUCGACUAGAGGGUGAUAGAGGAGCGUAGAAUUCCGGGUGUAGUGGUGAAAUGCGUAGAGAUCCGGAGGAAUACCAGUGGCGCAGGCGGCGCUCUGGGGUCACACCUGACACUGAGAUACGAAGGCAUGGGGGAGCGAACGGG
RNAcentral lists this ribosomal RNA (257 nucleotides) under uncultured bacterium. RNAcentral's name for it is "partial 16S ribosomal RNA". It matches the Rfam family "Bacterial small subunit ribosomal RNA", at positions 523 to 776 of the family's 1533-position model. The record is from RNAcentral.